GCUAUUUUGGCAGAAAAAUGUAUUAAAUUUAGAAUUUAAUUAUAUAAUUUAAAUUAUAAAUAGUA
RNAcentral lists this transfer RNA (65 nucleotides) under Daktulosphaira vitifoliae (grape phylloxera). Its description in RNAcentral is "tRNA-Leu". The record is from RNAcentral. Lineage: Eukaryota; Metazoa; Arthropoda; Insecta; Hemiptera; Phylloxeridae.